RNAcentral lists this ribosomal RNA (1560 nucleotides) under Triticum aestivum (bread wheat). RNAcentral's name for it is "partial small subunit ribosomal RNA". Lineage: Eukaryota; Viridiplantae; Streptophyta; Magnoliopsida; Poales; Poaceae. The record is from RNAcentral.
AUGCGUUCAAGGGGAUUGAGUAUGUGUGACAUUGCCGUGGUUGUAGUCGAUAUUACGCAGGGGCUUGAGAAGCAGACGAUUGAAUCCCUUCAUCUUUUGAGACGGCACAAUGUGAGCUUCAUUGUCGCCUUGAACAAGGUUGAUCGCCUCUAUGGGUGGAAGGAAUGUACCAAUGCACCAAUAGUUGAGGCACUCAAGAAGCAAUCUGACGACGUCAAAAGUGAAUAUAAAUGGAGGUUAACUAAGGUUGUAACAGAGUUUAAGGAAAAUGGCUUCAACACUGCACCAUACUAUGAAAAUAAUAAGAAGAAAAAAGUGGUUAACAUUGUCCCGACCAGUGCAGAAAGCGGUGAAGGUGUCCCAGAUCUUCUACUGCUACUGGUGCGGUGGCUGCCUGGCAUAAUUACAGAUAAGCUGGCCUAUGACGAUACAGUAGAGUGUACAGUACUAGAAGUCAAUGAACAUAAAGAUUUAGGAACUACUGUUGACGUAGUACUGAUUAAUGGUGUGCUGCACCAAGGGGAUCAAGUAAUUGUUUGCACUAAACAGGGGCCUGUUACAACCAUUAUUAGAGACUUGUUGACCCCUCAUCCAAUGAAAGAACUCAAAGCUAAGGGUGCAUAUAAGCAUCACAAGGAGGUCAGAGCUGCGCAGGGGGUAAAAAUUGUGGCACGGGGACUUCAAUAUACAAUGGCUGGCACUUCCCUCAUUGUAGUGAAGCCAGGGGAUGAUUUGCGACAAGCUGAAGCAGCUGCAAUGACAGAUGAGAACGAGAAGGGAACAACAACUCAAGAAGUUAGUAGUAUCGUGACUUCCAAGGAGGGCAUCUAUGUGCAAGCUUCUAGUGUUGGAACCUUGGAAGCUAUCAUUGCGCACUUGAAGAGCAGUAGUGUGGACAUUCCUGUUUAUGCUUGGAACUUAGGACCCGUCUACAAGCAGGAUGUCAUGAAGGCAAGUGCCAUGCUGAAGCGGAAAGAAGAGUAUGCGGUCAUCUUGGCCUUUGACGUCAAAGUGAUGCCUGAGGCUAGUGCCCUUGCAGCUGAAUCAGGGUUGAAGAUUAUUACUGCUGAUACGGUAUAUAGGCUCGUCAACAUCUAUACUGAGCACAUUAAGGGAUUGAAGGAAGCGAAGAAAAUGCAAUUUGCAGCUGAGGCAGUUUUCCCAUGCACCCUGAAGAUUCUGCCAAACCGUGUCUACCAUAGCAAGGAUCCAAUUGUUUGCGACGUUGAAGUUGUGGAAGGUGUCGUCAAGGUGGGAACCCCGAUAUGUGUCUUCACCCAGAGCAAGGUUCAUAGCCUCGGAAGGAUCUCCUCCAUGCAAACAUCCAAUGGCAAUCAGAUUUUCUCGGCCAGGAAUGGAGUUGUGGCCAUAAAGAUAAGCGGUGACAGCCCUCAGGAGAAAUCCCGGUGUUAUGGGCGCCAUUUUGAUUCUAGCAAUGAGCUGGUCAGCGAGAUCUCGAGGAGAUCCAUUGAUGUACUCAAAGAGUGCUUUCGGGAUGAAAUGAGCGCUGAAAAUUGGCAGCUUAUCACCAGGUUGAAGACGCAAUUCAAGAUAGCCUGA